GUUUUCCGGCUGGUUCUUAAACCGUGUGUUUCGACGCAUAUAACCUUUUGGCUGGCCGGAAGUCCUUCAUGACAUAAAGAAAAAAAUGCCUUCAUCCCCUGACAGUACUACUGCUGCUGCGUCACCAGAUUCUGACUCUCCACCUUCACCACCUCCAACAUCAGAUUCAUCAUCUUCAUCGCCGCCGCCACCUUCAACAUCAUCCCCGCCUGAGAGUUCUCCACCUCCCCCACCCAAAUCAGAUUCUCCUUCACCACCUCCUCCGCCAUCAGAUGCAUCAGCACCUUCACCAACAAGUUCAUCUUCACACCCACCUCCGCCACCACCAUCUAAUAAUAGUAGCCACAGCACUUCUUCGCCACCUCCACCACCACAUAAAAUAUUGUCACCCCCACCACCUCACAAAUCA
RNAcentral lists this unclassified non-coding RNA (409 nucleotides) under Hevea brasiliensis (rubber tree). The record is from RNAcentral. Lineage: Eukaryota; Viridiplantae; Streptophyta; Magnoliopsida; Malpighiales; Euphorbiaceae.